AUGGCUAAGUGAAGUGUCGGCAGGCGUCGAAAAUGGCUAGAAAUGGCAGAUUUUUCUUGCCGCCGAUCAUGGAGUUUCCGGUGACCAUUUGCGGCGUUCUUAGGCUCAAAAUGAUCAGCAACUUCUGGGCUUUCUUUUCCGACCAUCGCCAUCCCUUGAGGCUGCCGGAAUUGCAAAAUUCGAUGAGGUGAAAAAAGUAGGGGCAGCCGGAAUUUUGAACUUUUCUGGUGAGCUCCGGUGAGGGAUGGAUGAUCGAAGGGCAUAUCCAGACUCUACUCAGCUCAAGCUUUCUAAUGGCACCGGUUUCGUGGCGAUCGGACUCCGUUUGAAAAUCGAUGGCUGAGAUCGUCCGUAAAUCUCUCUGAAUGAUCGGGGGUCAGAUCGAAAGAUAAGAAGCUGGGAUCGUCAUCAGUGCAUCGUUUCGAGUCCGUUGGUGCGUUCGGAUCGUCAAUCGGACUCCGACGGCUAGAGGCGAGUCGACCAAGCGAUCAAGCGUCUCGGUCUUAGACCCAUUAUAUGGGGGGCAAAUAUCAGUAAAUUAGGGGAGGUUCUGCCGAAUAUGGGACGCCAGUAGAACAUGCCACCUGAUGGGUUGCAUCAGGACCGCGUGUGCACCGGUAUGAAUCAGAGACAGAAAAUAAGGGGUAAAGGUUUGUAAAUUUUAAAAGGUAAAUCUAGGACUUACCCUGGUCGAGCAUUACUCUCUAAGCUGAGUAGAAUGAGUUUGCCGGAGUAAAGGUCCUUGGUCGAGUAUUACUUUCUAGGCGUCGGCUUAUUUGGAAACCUAAGUGACCGGACUUGAUUUAAGGACCUUGGUCAAGCUUCGCUCUUUGGGCGCCAGUCUUAUUGGAGUAAAAGAGCCGAAAGGUAAAUACUGAUAGUGAUAAUUAAGUGACCGGACUUGAGUUAAGGACCCUGAUCGAGCUUCGCUCUCUGGGCACCAGUUCUGUUGGAAUGAGAGAGUCGAGAUGUUAGUGUUGCGAUUAGCGUUCUACUGAAGCACUUUGUCUCGUAGUAUGUGAAAGUUAUUUUUAUUUAAGCAUGGCAUGACACAUAUAUUUUUGCAUGACUUAACGUUUAUUUCAAAUUAGAUAAAUGUGUUAUAAAAGUGUUUGUAAUUAUUUUUGGAUA
Ricinus communis (castor bean) is the source of this 1131-nucleotide long non-coding RNA. RefSeq lists it as uncharacterized. The record is from RefSeq and is a predicted model, not a curated record. The transcript has 2 exons. NCBI's taxonomy places the organism in Eukaryota, Viridiplantae, Streptophyta, Magnoliopsida, Malpighiales, Euphorbiaceae.